AUGGUUCUUAAACUUGUAAAUUUCAUAUUUGUAGCCGCAUUGUCCUAUUUUCUUUUUGUUGAUAUGCAUAUCAAAUUGAAAGACUUAUAGAACAUUACAUAUUUAUUUCAUCAGACAGUUGAGAAUCCGAUAGAAUAUGUCUCGCAAACCGGAAAACAAACGUUAAGUCCGGAAAUUAAAACCCAAGAAAGAAGAAAAAAGCAGAAAAACAAGGGAUAAAAUCAAAGAUGGGGGAUAAAGUUUUGAGGUUUACACAAAAGCAAAGGGAAAUUAACCGGUGAAGCUUGGUGGCUUGUAGGCAAUGAAACUGAUGCACUGGACUUGACGGGUGUUGUCGAAUCCGAUGAUCCUAAUGAAGGCAUUGGGGUACUCCUUCUUGCACUCUUCCACUUCCUUCAACACUUGAGCGGAGUCGGUGCAACCGAACAAGGGAAGCUUCCACAUUGUCCAGUACCGUCCAUCAUAGUAUCCGGGUGAGUUACCGUGCUCACGGUACACAAAUCCGUGCUAUACAAACCACAUGUUACAAACCACUCAGAUAACAUUUUGAACA
This 553-nucleotide small RNA is filed under the name Arabidopsis thaliana (thale cress). Its description in RNAcentral is "ATSL067080". Lineage: Eukaryota; Viridiplantae; Streptophyta; Magnoliopsida; Brassicales; Brassicaceae. The record is from RNAcentral.